GUGAAUCCAUGUUCCCUGAGAAGCCUAAGCACUGAGUCUGGUCUUUCACGGGUUUGAAAACGUAUAUUCCUAUUCUUAGAGACAGAUUGAGCAGAUUUUAGGGUCAAUCCACAUGAAUUAAUGAGAUAUGAGACUAUAAAUGAAUGCCCAUUCAAAUUAGAAGAUGUGGAAGACGAAAAGGAUCUGAUUACGAAUAUUGAGUGAGAAGGAAGAAUACCCAGUUGGGCAUUUGAGA
Molecule: unclassified non-coding RNA, 235 nt
Filed under: Hevea brasiliensis (rubber tree)
Lineage: Eukaryota; Viridiplantae; Streptophyta; Magnoliopsida; Malpighiales; Euphorbiaceae
Source: RNAcentral